Molecule: ribosomal RNA, 671 nt
Filed under: Bouteloua trifida
Lineage: Eukaryota; Viridiplantae; Streptophyta; Magnoliopsida; Poales; Poaceae
Description: eukaryotic LSU rRNA
Rfam family: 5.8S ribosomal RNA (bases 245-400)
Source: RNAcentral
ACCUGCGGAAGGAUCAUUGUCGUGACCCUAACCAAAACAGACCGUGAACAUGUUACCCAUGCCGCCGGGCGAUGGGUGUCGCACCCAUCUCUCGGAACAGGGUGCCGACCUUCGUUAGAGGGGAGGGGCCCUAAAUGAACCCACGGCGCCGUAUGGCGUCAAGGAACACAGAUAUUGCCUUGCGUGGGGUGUGGACUGGCAUGCCAGUCGGACCCCCGUGCAGCGAUCAUAUGUUAUUUCACAUGACUCUCGGCAACGGAUAUCUCGGCUCUCGCAUCGAUGAAGAACGUAGCAAAAUGCGAUACCUGGUGUGAAUUGCAGAAUCCCGUGAACCAUCGAGUUUUUGAACGCAAGUUGCGCCCGAGACCUUCUGGUCGAGGGCACGUCUGCCUGGGCGUCAUGCCAAAAGACACUCCCCACCCAUCAAGCUGAGGUGGAGGAAGUGGUAUUUGGCUCUCCGUGCAUCUAGGUGCGGUGGGCCUAAGUUGGGGCUGCCGGCGGUGCCGAUCACAGCACAAGGUGGAUGACGCAAGUUAUUCUCGUGCUAUGAUUCGGACUGUUUUCGGUGACGCUAUGGCCCUUUGCACCCAUGUACCAAAGCGCACAACGCUUGGACCACGACCCCAGGUCAGUCGGGACUACCCGCCGAAUUUAAGCAUAUCAAUAAGCGG